Molecule: ribosomal RNA, 493 nt
Filed under: uncultured bacterium
Lineage: Bacteria
Description: bacterial SSU rRNA
Rfam family: Bacterial small subunit ribosomal RNA
Source: RNAcentral
AACGAACGCUGGCGGCGCGCUUAACACAUGCAAGUCGAACGAGAAGGCGUAGCAAUACGCUUGUACAGUGGCGAACGGGUGAGGAAUACAUGGGUAACCUACCCUCGAGUGGGGGAUAACCCGCCGAAAGGCGGGCUAAUACCGCGUACGCUUCCGAUCUUGCGGGAUUGGAAGGAAAGCUGUCCCUUGGGGAUGGCGCUCAAGGAUGGGCUCAUGUCCUAUCAGCUUGUUGGUAGGGUAACGGCCUACCAAGGCAUCGACGGGUAGCUGGUCUGAGAGGACGAUCAGCCACACUGGCACUGCGACACGGGCCAGACUCCUACGGGAGGCAGCAGUGAGGAAUAUUGCGCAAUGGGCGAAAGCCUGACGCAGCGACGCCGCGUGGGGGAUGAAGGUCUUCGGAUUGUAAACCCCGUUUCGGGAGGGAAGACGGCCUUAGACAACUAAGGCGGACGGUACCUCCAGAAGCAGCCACGGCUAACUUCGUGCCAGC